RNAcentral lists this ribosomal RNA (253 nucleotides) under uncultured bacterium. Its description in RNAcentral is "partial 16S ribosomal RNA". It matches the Rfam family "Bacterial small subunit ribosomal RNA", at positions 524 to 776 of the family's 1533-position model. The record is from RNAcentral.
UACGUAGGGGGCAAGCGUUGUCCGGAAUUAUUGGGCGUAAAGAGCGUGUAGGCGGCUUGGUAAGUCUGCUGUGAAAGCCCAGGGCUCAACCCUGGAAUGCCGGUGGAUACUGUCAAGCUAGAGUUCGGAAGAGGCGAGUGGAAUUCCUGGUGUAGCGGUGAAAUGCGCAGAUAUCAGGAGGAACACCAAUAGCGAAGGCAGCUCGCUGGGACGAUACUGACGCUGAGACGCGAAAGCGUGGGGAGCAAACAGG